UCUAAUAUGGCAGACUAGUGCAAAGGAUUUAAGCUCCUUAUAUAAAGCUUACUUAAACUUUUUUUAGAA
Molecule: transfer RNA, 69 nt
Filed under: Cilnia humeralis
Lineage: Eukaryota; Metazoa; Arthropoda; Insecta; Mantodea; Mantidae
Description: tRNA-Leu
Source: RNAcentral